UACAGAGGGGGCAAGCGUUAUUCGGAAUUAUUGGGCGUAAAGGGCGCGUAGGCGGCCACGCACGUCCGUUGUGAAAUCGCCCGGCUCAACUGGGCGGGGUCGGCGGAUACGGCGUGGCUGGAGCAAGCUAGGGGGCAAUGGAAUUCCCGGUGUAGUGGUGGAAUGCGUAGAUAUCGGGAGGAACACCAGUGGCGAAGGCGGUUGCCUGGAGCUUUGCUGACGCUGAGGCGCGAAAGCGUGGGGAGCGAUCCGG
RNAcentral lists this ribosomal RNA (253 nucleotides) under uncultured bacterium. RNAcentral describes it as "partial 16S ribosomal RNA". It matches the Rfam family "Bacterial small subunit ribosomal RNA", at positions 524 to 776 of the family's 1533-position model. The record is from RNAcentral.